UACGUAGGCAGCAAGCGUUGUUCGGAGUUACUGGGCGUAAAGGGUGUGUAGGCGGUUAUUUAAGUUUGGUGUGAAAUCUCCCGGCUCAACCGGGAGGGUGCGCCGAAUACUGAAUGACUUGGAGUGCGGGAGAGGAAAGUGGAAUUCCUGGUGUAGCGGUGAAAUGCGUAGAUAUCAGGAGGAACACCGGUGGUGUAGACGGCUUUCUGGAUCGUAACUGACGCUGAGACACGAAAGCGUGGGUAGCAAACAGG
This 254-nucleotide ribosomal RNA is filed under the name uncultured bacterium. RNAcentral's name for it is "partial 16S ribosomal RNA". It matches the Rfam family "Bacterial small subunit ribosomal RNA", at positions 524 to 776 of the family's 1533-position model. The record is from RNAcentral.